CACCCGCGCCACAAGUGGCAAUCACUUUUAUUGGGUCUAAAGCGUCCGUAGCCGGUUUGAUAAGUCUCUUGUGAAAUUGUUGCGCUUAACGUAUGGGCUGCCGGGAAUACUGCAUAACUAGGAAGUGGGAGAGGUAGACGGUACUCGGUAGGAAGGGGUAAAAUCCUUUGAUCUAUUGAUGACCACCUGUGGCGAAGGCGGUCUACCAGAACACGUUCGACGGUGAGGGAUGAAAGCUGGGGGGAGCAAACCGGAUUAGAUACCCUAGUAGU
Molecule: ribosomal RNA, 272 nt
Filed under: uncultured bacterium
Lineage: Bacteria
Description: partial 16S ribosomal RNA
Rfam family: Archaeal small subunit ribosomal RNA
Source: RNAcentral